Molecule: long non-coding RNA, 569 nt
Organism: Meriones unguiculatus (Mongolian gerbil)
Lineage: Eukaryota; Metazoa; Chordata; Mammalia; Rodentia; Muridae
Exons: 2
Source: RefSeq, a predicted model, not a curated record
GCUCCCGGGUCCCCGCCUCCUCGCUGUCGCAGGAGGGAGGCCGUCUGCGACCGCGUCCCUCAGGCGUCCCGUCAGGCGGCGGGGAUCUGACAGCUUAGCCUUUUAGGUUUCCAAGAUGGUGGAGCCUCCAGUGGUGAAUUCACCAACCACUGGGAAAAAUGGCUCCAGCUUCUCCUGCUGCCUGGUUCUGCACAGUGGACGGCUUUGUGUUGGCUGUUAUGUUCUGCCUCGUCGGGAUUGCCACUAAGCUGACAAACACCACCUGAAGAUCAGCUUUGGACUACAGACUGCUUAGGACAUUCAAAUUGCUGAGUUCACAUGAGACAAACAUUUUACAGAACUUUGAAUUAAAAAAUACUUAAUUCUAAGACUGCCAAAUACAACCAUGCUGGACAUUGUGGAAAGCUUAGCAAAAAUUGCUUAAUUUUUGAAAGUAGUUUUACUUUAUCUUUCCUUUUUAUUUAGACAAAAAGGCAGGUAUAGAAAUAAGAUAAGAAUGAUAGGGAAAAGAGGUUAGAUUAUUGAAUCUACUCUCAUAGAUCUUUCUAUAUUAUAUAAAAUUAAAGUUA